RNAcentral lists this small RNA (132 nucleotides) under Klebsiella pneumoniae. RNAcentral's name for it is "RtT sRNA". It matches the Rfam family "RtT RNA". From Rfam's summary of the family: This family represents a bacterial cis-regulatory element known as RtT RNA. The exact function of RtT is unknown although it is thought that it may be involved in changing the cellular response in relation to amino acid starvation. The record is from RNAcentral. Lineage: Bacteria; Pseudomonadati; Pseudomonadota; Gammaproteobacteria; Enterobacterales; Enterobacteriaceae.
UAUUCUGCCCCAUGGGGAAGGAUGAGAAGCUUCGACUAAGGUUCGACUCGAGCGAAGCGAGAGAACGUUACCGCAGGCAACGGCCCGAAGGGCGAGGAGCGAUAGCGACGAGUUAUCCUUCCCCCACCACCA